This is an RNA transcript of Cryptomeria japonica (Japanese cedar), 2554 nucleotides long. RefSeq lists it as uncharacterized. The transcript has 3 exons. NCBI's taxonomy places the organism in Eukaryota, Viridiplantae, Streptophyta, Pinopsida, Cupressales, Cupressaceae. The record is from RefSeq and is a predicted model, not a curated record.
ACUUGUAUGCUUUUAAAAUGGAAUCCUAUCACUUGUCAUGAAAGGUGAAGUGUUGCCGCUGCUUUCAAGUUUCAACAUCAUCACCACCUGCAUCAACAUGAAUGGAUUAUAUUAUACACCAAGAGCGAGACAUACGUUUGUGGUAUGAAAGAACAGUGCACUUUGAUCAGGAUUGCUGUACAUAAACUAAGAUUCUUACUCAAAGGACUAAAUUAAUGAUAUUUGGUAAAGCUCUAAAGCUCUUUUUUGUAUGUAUGCACAACAGACUCUGGAUGUCAUACUUUAUACAUUUCAGGGUGGAUUUGCCUCUAUUUUUUUUCCAAAUCUUCAGGGAGGUAUCAGUAAAAGUUGCUCUGAUGACUCUGCAGAGGAUCAUGAGAUCACCCUCAAAAACUUGGCAAUGUACAGGGGAUGGAAUUAUCUCCUAGGCUUCCAAGUGGAAGCCAGCAGAAAUGCUCGCAGAACAUCAUUUAGCUCUGAAGAAAGAUAACCCACAUGCAAAAAGCUGAAAUUCUGUUACUUUGUGCCAACAGUUGGAAGGAAGAUUGUUUGCUGUGGCACCCGUUUUUAGAGGUGUACAUUAUAUGCUGUAGUCUCCUUUUAUUUAGUAGGCCAUGUUGGUUUCAUGCGAUUGCUUGGGUUUCAAGAGAAUAUGAAUGGGUUCAGAGACAAAAUAGAAUUCAUUCUAGAAGUGGGAUCUCUAUGUUGGCUAGAUGAAGUUAACCAUACUUAAUUCUGGUGCAUCUCCUUGCAUUUUUCCUCCCUGAUUGGCCUUGUUGACAAAUAUUACAGUUAAUGGGGCUGCUUGAGAUGUGCGUAUGAAUGAAUUCAGGGGAAAUACAGAAUUCAGUCUGCAAGUGUGAUCUCUGCUUUGGGUCUCCUUCAGAUUUUAUGCUGAUAAGAUAUUUUUGUAUUACAAAGUUGAAGCUCGAUUGAAUAUACAGUGAACGCCGGAGAGUGUAGGUGGAGCAUGCGGUGCUGACGUUCUCAGGCCUAAGGCAUACCAUAAUGUGAGUGACAUAGUAUGGAUCUAACAAAAGACCAGGGUGAGUUGAGAGAGGUUCUGAAAAAUUAGCAGCUGGAGAUUUCAUGGCAAGAUCCGAUAGGGAUGGGGUAAUUGGGUGUGCUUGCUAUUGCUGCCCUCCUAGGGAAUCAGAAGCCUCUACUGCAAUCAAGGUGGAAGCAGUUCAUCCCUCUAAUUGGCAUGGUGAAGGGCAGAUGCUGCCCAAUGGGAAUACGAAUGAGAAUGUAAAUGGGAAGGGGGAUGCCAGAAUGAACAAGUGCAGUAAUGGUAUGCCUCUCAAAAGCAAUCUAAAAAGGCCAUCUGGGACUUCAGACGAUCCUAUCGCUGGAGACGCACAGAAAAAGACAGGCUCAAGUGAGAAUACUGUGGGUAAGGAACAUCUAGCAGAGGCGGAGAAGGGGGAGUCCAAUGUGAAUACUAAGCGAAAAGUGCAGUGGACUGAUGCACAUGGGCAGGAACUAGCUCAAAUCAAAGAAUUUGAACGCAGGCUUACACAUUGUCUAACUGGUUAGGGUUAAUCCAGUUGCCGCGUACUCAAAGACUAGUUUUAUGGCUUUUCCAUGUGCGAGCUGGGCUGAUUUGAUGUCAGUCCUGGGCCAUCCAGAUUGCGUGCCUCUGGAAAUUGGUGCACCUCCACUUGCUGGAGAAUUUCUCCACAGCCAAGCCUGGAACUUGGUUCGUGAUUCCAACCCAUCAUCGGAUGAAGGCAUAGGGAAUUCCGAUGAAUCUUGUACAUGUGUUAUUCAGUGAUGUCAGUGAAGUAGCUAAAAAUGGAGCAGAAUGGAAGCAGAAUUUUCUAAAGUUUUGAGAGAUGAGGUGUGAGAUUUUUUAACUUCAUUCAACCCAAUCAAGAGUAGGUAGGGUUGGACAAAACCAACAACCUGCACAAAUGCUCUGAAAACCUAGAUAGUUCUGCCAAUUAAACAAGAAGCUGGGUAAAGGAAUAGUUAUUCAGCAUUGUGUUGGUGGAAAAUGAAAUUCCACGCUCUUGAAAAUCUGAACAAAUCAACUCUUCUGAAGGUGUAUCAUCGAUUCGGGCUGCAUUAAACCUAUGUGGAAUUUGUCGUCAUUUUGUAUAAUCCCAUUUUCCAUCCGUCAUGCCCCUACAUUUUGUGUUGGUAUGUUUGUGGGGAAGUAAACAGCUUCCAAUGGGCAACCAACAUAAGUGAACCUAGCUCCUUUGCUAGACUAUUGGUUUGAUCUUUAGAUUUUUGUGGGGGUCCUACUGCAAUUUUUUGAUACUGUUCAAUUGCAGACAGAACUAGUGGAGCUUACUGCAAAUGGUUAUAUGGAAACCUUUUAAACGGGUUUCAGAUAUUUGCAGUUUGAUAAAUUGCUUUUCAGAGAGUUACCAAGUGUUUCCUGUGAGAUUUUGUCCUUUUGUAGUCAGUUGGAAAGCCACAAUGUAUGACAGAUAGAACUGGAGUUUGUUGUAUUUUUACUGUAGGAUUUGAAUUCAAGAGAUUGGAAGAUAUCUAGACACAUGGCUUUAUUCUUUGAAUUUAUUGAGAAAUCGUCAUUUGAUGGGUA